CCUACGGGAGGCUGCAGUGGGGAAUAUUGGACAAUGGGCGAAAGCCUGAUCCAGCCAUGCCGCGUGUGUGAAGAAGGCCUUCGGGUUGUAAAGCACUUUCAGUGGGGAAGAAAGCCUUGGGGCUAAUACCCUCGAGGAAGGACAUCACCCACAGAAGAAGCACCGGCUAACUCCGUGCCAGCAGCCGCGGUAAUACGGAGGGUGCGAGCGUUAAUCGGAAUUACUGGGCGUAAAGCGCGCGUAGGCGGUCUGAUAAGCCGGUUGUGAAAGCCCCGGGCUCAACCUGGGAACGGCAUCCGGAACUGUCAGGCUAGAGUGCAGGAGAGGAAGGUAGAAUUCCCGGUGUAGGGGUGAAAUGCGUAGAGAUCGGGAGGAAUACCAGUGGCGAAGGUGGCCUUAUGGACUGACACUGACGCUGAGGUGCGAAAGCGUGGGUAGCCAACAGGAUUAGAUACCCGGGUAGUC
RNAcentral lists this ribosomal RNA (465 nucleotides) under Vreelandella stevensii. RNAcentral describes it as "partial 16S ribosomal RNA". It matches the Rfam family "Bacterial small subunit ribosomal RNA", at positions 338 to 795 of the family's 1533-position model. Lineage: Bacteria; Pseudomonadati; Pseudomonadota; Gammaproteobacteria; Oceanospirillales; Halomonadaceae. The record is from RNAcentral.